This 1445-nucleotide ribosomal RNA is filed under the name uncultured organism. Its description in RNAcentral is "SSU rRNA". It matches the Rfam family "Bacterial small subunit ribosomal RNA". The record is from RNAcentral.
GAACGCUAGCUACAGGCUUAACACAUGCAAGUCGAGGGGCAGCAUGGUCUUAGCUUGCUAAGGCCGAUGGCGACCGGCGCACGGGUGAGUAACACGUAUCCAACCUGCCGUCUACUCUUGGACAGCCUUCUGAAAGGAAGAUUAAUACAAGAUGGCAUCAUGAGUCCGCAUGUUCACAUGAUUAAAGGUAUUCCGGUAGACGAUGGGGAUGCGUUCCAUUAGAUAGUAGGCGGGGUAACGGCCCACCUAGUCUUCCAUGGAUAGGGGUUCUGAGAGGAAGGUCCCCCACAUUGGAACUGAUACACGGUCCAAACUCCUACGGGAGGCAGCGGUGAGGAAUAUUGGUCAAUGGGCGAGAGCCUGAACCAGCCAAGUAGCGUGAAGGAUGACUGCCCUAUGGGUUGUAAACUUCUUUUAUAAAGGAAUAAAGUCGGAUAUGCAUACCCGUUUGCAUGUACUUUAUGAAUAAGGAUCGGCUAACUCCGUGCCAGCAGCCGCGGUAAUACGGAGGAUCCGAGCGUUAUCCGGAUUUAUUGGGUUUAAAGGGAGCGUAGAUGGAUGUUUAAGUCAGUUGUGAAAGUUUGCGGCUCAACCGUAAAAUUGCAGUUGAUACUGGAUAUCUUGAGUGCAGUUGAGGCAGGCGGAAUUCGUGGUGUAGCGGAGAAAUGCUUAGAUAUCACGAAGAACUCCGAUUGCGAAGGCAGCCUGCUAAGCUGCAACUGACAUUGAGGCUCGAAAGUGUGGGUAUCAAACAGGAUUAGAUACCCUGGUAGUCCACACGGUAAACGAUGAAUACUCGCUGUUUGCGAUAUACGGCAAGCGGCCAAGCGAAAGCGUUAAGUAUUCCACCUGGGGAGUACGCCGGCAACGGUGAAACUCAAAGGAAUUGACGGGGGCCCGCACAAGCGGAGGAACAUGUGGUUUAAUUCGAUGAUACGCGAGGAACCUUACCCGGGCUUAAAUUGCAGAUGAAUUACGGUGAAAGCCGUAAGCCGCAAGGCAUCUGUGAAGGUGCUGCAUGGUUGUCGUCAGCUCGUGCCGUGAGGUGUCGGCUUAAGUGCCAUAACGAGCGCAACCCUUGUUGUCAGUUACUAACAGGUCCCGCUGAGGACUCUGACAAGACUGCCAUCGUAAGAUGUGAGGAAGGUGGGGAUGACGUCAAAUCAGCACGGCCCUUACGUCCGGGGCUACACACGUGUUACAAUGGGGGGUACAGAGGGCCGCUACCACGCGAGUGGAUGCCAAUCCCCAAAACCUCUCUCAGUUCGGACUGGAGUCUGCAACCCGACUCCACGAAGCUGGAUUCGCUAGUAAUCGCGCAUCAGCCACGGCGCGGUGAAUACGUUCCCGGGCCUUGUACACACCGCCCGUCAAGCCAUGGGAGCCGGGGGUACCUGAAGUGCGUAACCGCGAGGAGCGCCCUAGGGUAAAACUGGUGACUGGGG